AGCACGCAUACUAUUAAUAAAAUUUGAAACAAUACAGAGAAGAUUAGCAAGGCCCCUGUGCAAGGAUGACAUGCAAAUUCAUGAAGCAUUCCAUAUUUUU
RNAcentral lists this small nuclear RNA (100 nucleotides) under Physeter macrocephalus (sperm whale). Lineage: Eukaryota; Metazoa; Chordata; Mammalia; Artiodactyla; Physeteridae. The record is from RNAcentral.